GGUUAAGCGACUAAGCGUACACGGUGGAUGCCCUGGCAGUCAGAGGCGAUGAAGGACGUGCUAAUCUGCGAAAAGCGUCGGUAAGGUGAUAUGAACCGUUACAGCCGGCGAUGUCCGAAUGGGGAAACCCAGUGCAAUUCGUUGCACUAUCGUUAACUGAAUACAUAGGUUAACGAGGCGAACCGGGGGAACUGAAACAUCUAAGUACCCCGAGGAAAAGAAAUCAACCGAGAUUCCCCCAGUAGCGGCGAGCGAACGGGGAGCAGCCCGGAGUCUGAAUCAGCUUGUGUGUUAGUGGAAGCGUCUGGAAAGUCGCAGGGUACAGGGUGAUACUCCCGUACACUAAAACACACAGGUUGUGAACUCGAAGAGUAGGGCGGGACACGUGGUAUCCUGUCUGAAUAUGGGGGGACCAUCCUCCAAGGCUAAAUACUCCUGACUGACCGAUAGUGAACCAGUACCGUGAGGGAAAGGCGAAAAGAACCCCGGCGAGGGGAGUGAAAAAGAACCUGAAACCGUGUACGUACAAGCAGUAGGAGCCCACUAGUUGGGUGACUGCGUACCUUUUGUAUAAUGGGUCAGCGACUUAUAUUCUGUAGCAAGGUUAACCGUAUAGGGGAGCCGCAGGGAAACCGAGUCUUAACUGGGCGUUAAGUUGCAGGGUAUAGACCCGAAACCCGGUGAUCUAGCCAUGGGCAGGUUGAAGGUUGGGUAACACUAACUGGAGGACCGAACCGACUAAUGUUGAAAAAUUAGCGGAUGACUUGUGGCUGGGGGUGAAAGGCCAAUCAAACCGGGAGAUAGCUGGUUCUCCCCGAAAGCUAUUUAGGUAGCGCCUCGUGAAUUCAUCUUCGGGGGUAGAGCACUGUUUCGGCUAGGGGGUCAUCCCGACUUACCAACCCGAUGCAAACUACGAAUACCGAAGAAUGUUAUCACGGGAGACACACGGCGGGUGCUAACGUCCGUCGUGAAGAGGGAAACAACCCAGACCGCCAGCUAAGGUCCCAAAGUCAUGGUUAAGUGGGAAACGAUGUGGGAAGGCCCAGACAGCCAGGAUGUUGGCUUAGAAGCAGCCAUCAUUUAAAGAAAGCGUAAUAGCUCACUGGUCGAGUCGGCCUGCGCGGAAGAUGUAACGGGGCUAAACCAUGCACCGAAGCUGCGGCAGCGACACUAUGUGUUGUUGGGUAGGGGAGCGUUCUGUAAGCCGUUGAAGGUGGCCUGUGAGGGUUGCUGGAGGUAUCAGAAGUGCGAAUGCUGACAUAAGUAACGAUAAUGCGGGUGAAAAACCCGCACGCCGGAAGACCAAGGGUUCCUGUCCAACGUUAAUCGGGGCAGGGUGAGUCGACCCCUAAGGCGAGGCCGAAAGGCGUAGUCGAUGGGAAACAGGUUAAUAUUCCUGUACUUGGUGUUACUGCGAAGGGGGGACGGAGAAGGCUAUGUUGGCCGGGCGACGGUUGUCCCGGUUUAAGCAUGUAGGCGGAUGUUCCAGGUAAAUCCGGAGCGUCACUAACGCUGAGGUGUGAUGACGAGGCACUACGGUGCUGAAGUGACAAAUGCCCUGCUUCCAGGAAAAGCCUCUAAGCAUCAGGUAACAUCAAAUCGUACCCCAAACCGACACAGGUGGUCAGGUAGAGAAUACCAAGGCGCUUGAGAGAACUCGGGUGAAGGAACUAGGCAAAAUGGUGCCGUAACUUCGGGAGAAGGCACGCUGAUGGUAGGUGAAGUGACUUGCUCAUGGAGCUGAAAUCAGUCGAAGAUACCAGCUGGCUGCAACUGUUUAUUAAAAACACAGCACUGUGCAAACACGAAAGUGGACGUAUACGGUGUGACGCCUGCCCGGUGCCGGAAGGUUAAUUGAUGGGGUUAUCCUCGCGGAGAAGCUCUUGAUCGAAGCCCCGGUAAACGGCGGCCGUAACUAUAACGGUCCUAAGGUAGCGAAAUUCCUUGUCGGGUAAGUUCCGACCUGCACGAAUGGCGUAAUGAUGGCCAGGCUGUCUCCACCCGAGACUCAGUGAAAUUGAACUCGCUGUGAAGAUGCAGUGUACCCGCGGCAAGACGGAAAGACCCCGUGAACCUUUACUAUAGCUUGACACUGAACACUGGUCCUUGAUGUGUAGGAUAGGUGGGAGGCUUUGAAGUGUGGACGCCAGUCUGCAUGGAGCCGUCCUUGAAAUACCACCCUUUAAUGGCUGGUGUUCUAACGUGGGCCCCUAAUCGGGGUUGCGGACAGUGUCUGGUGGGUAGUUUGACUGGGGCGGUCUCCUCCUAAAGAGUAACGGAGGAGCACGAAGGUCAGCUAAUCCUGGUCGGACAUCAGGAGGUUAGUGCAAUGGCAUAAGCUGGCUUGACUGCGAGCGUGACGGCGCGAGCAGGUGCGAAAGCAGGUCAUAGUGAUCCGGUGGUUCUGAAUGGAAGGGCCAUCGCUCAACGGAUAAAAGGUACUCCGGGGAUAACAGGCUGAUACCGCCCAAGAGUUCAUAUCGACGGCGGUGUUUGGCACCUCGAUGUCGGCUCAUCACAUCCUGGGGCUGAAGUAGGUCCCAAGGGUAUGGCUGUUCGCCAUUUAAAGUGGUACGCGAGCUGGGUUUAGAACGUCGUGAGACAGUUCGGUCCCUAUCUGCCGUGGGCGCUGGAGAAUUGAGGGGGGCUGCUCCUAGUACGAGAGGACCGGAGUGGACGCAUCACUGGUGUUCGGGUUGUCAUGCCAAUGGCAUUGCCCGGUAGCUAAAUGCGGAAGAGAUAAGUGCUGAAAGCAUCUAAGCACGAAACUUGCCCCGAGAUGAGUUCUCCCUGACUCCUUGAGAGUCCUGAAGGAACGUUGAAGACGACGACGUUGAUAGGCCGGGUGUGUAAGCGCAGCGAUGCGUUGAGCUAACCGGUACUAAUGAACCGUGAGGCUUAACCUU
RNAcentral lists this ribosomal RNA (2906 nucleotides) under Klebsiella oxytoca. RNAcentral describes it as "23S ribosomal RNA". It matches the Rfam family "Bacterial large subunit ribosomal RNA". The record is from RNAcentral. Lineage: Bacteria; Pseudomonadati; Pseudomonadota; Gammaproteobacteria; Enterobacterales; Enterobacteriaceae.